This 429-nucleotide ribosomal RNA is filed under the name Verrucomicrobiota bacterium. RNAcentral describes it as "Verrucomicrobia bacterium partial 16S ribosomal RNA". It matches the Rfam family "Bacterial small subunit ribosomal RNA", at positions 355 to 776 of the family's 1533-position model. The record is from RNAcentral. Lineage: Bacteria; Pseudomonadati; Verrucomicrobiota.
UAGGGAAUCUUCCGCAAUGGACGAAAGUCUGACGGAGCAACGCCGCGUGAGUGAAGAAGGAUUUCGGUUCGUAAAACUCUGUUGUUAGGGAAGAAAAAAUGUAUAGUAACUAUAUACAAAAGAGACGGUACCUAACCAGAAAGCCACGGCUAACUACGUGCCAGAAGCCGCGGUAAUACGUAGGUGGCAAGCGUUGUCCGGAAUUAUUGGGCGUAAAGCGCGCGCAGGUGGUUUAGAAAGUCUGAUGUGAAAGCCCACGGCUCAACCGUGGAGGGUCAUUGGAAACUAAUAAACUUGAGUGCAGGAGAGAAAAGUGGAAUUCCUAGUGUAGCGGUGAAAUGCGUAGAGAUUAGGAGGAACACCGGUGGCGAAAGCGGCUUUUUGGCCUGCAACUGACACUGAGGCGCGAAAGCGUGGGGAGCAAACAGG